RNAcentral lists this small nucleolar RNA (137 nucleotides) under Nannospalax galili (Upper Galilee mountains blind mole rat). Its description in RNAcentral is "Small nucleolar RNA SNORA23 (ENSNGAG00000002175.1)". It matches the Rfam family "Small nucleolar RNA SNORA23", at positions 50 to 184 of the family's 184-position model. Rfam says of the family: The members of this family belong to the H/ACA class of snoRNAs which are thought to guide the sites of modification of uridines to pseudouridines. This family includes human snoRNA ACA23 (SNORA23) and mouse snoMBI-1. ACA23 is predicted to guide the pseudouridylation of residue U3737 and U4331 of 28S rRNA. The record is from RNAcentral. Lineage: Eukaryota; Metazoa; Chordata; Mammalia; Rodentia; Spalacidae.
UGAGCUACAGAAUAAGAUCCUGUCUCCACCACACAAACAUCAUGCAACCGAAGAAUAACUUGGGAUCAUAGUACUGGUCUAGUGUUGUGUGUCUGGGCAGAUUUCCCACUGACCAGCCUCCAAAUUCCCAGCCAUUA